AGUGAACGCUGGCGGUAGGCCUAACACAUGCAAGUCGAACGGCAGCACAGUAAGAGCUUGCUCUUACGGGUGGCGAGUGGCGGACGGGUGAGGAGUACAUCGGAAUCUACUUUUUCGUGGGGGAUAACGUAGGGAAACUUACGCUAAUACCGCAUACGACCUACGGGUGAAAGCAGGGGAUCUUCGGACCUUGCGCGAUUGGAUGAGCCGAUGGCGGAUUAGCUAGUUGGCGGGGUAAAGGCCCACCAAGGCGACGAUCGGUAGCUGGUCUGAGAGGGUGAACGGACACAUUGGGACUGAGGUACGGCCCAGACUCCUACGGGAGGCAGCAGUGGGGAAUAUGGCACAAUGGGAGGAAGCCUGAUGCAGCAACGCCGCGUGAGGGAUGACGGCCUUCGGGUUGUAAACCGCUUUCGCCUGUGAAGAAGCGUGAGUGACGGUAAUGGGUAAAGAAGCAACGGCUAACUACGUG
This 472-nucleotide ribosomal RNA is filed under the name uncultured bacterium. Its description in RNAcentral is "partial 16S ribosomal RNA". It matches the Rfam family "Bacterial small subunit ribosomal RNA", at positions 30 to 507 of the family's 1533-position model. The record is from RNAcentral.